CCCACACAUUAUUAUAUAUGUAAAAUGUAAAUAGAAGCUACAUCAUUAUUUCAUGAAAUAACAUCAUAGAGAAUGUGAUAGCAGAGUUCAUUCUCAGCAAUAUAUGUGAAACUAAUUAGGAAUCAAACUGUCUUCAAUAGUUAGAUGGAGGUGGAGGUAUGAAAGGAAUGGAAGGCAAGCUGCUGCUGGGAAGUGGUGGAAGAAUAGUGAUAAGCUUAGGCUAAGAUGGUGGGAUUGUUGGUAGCUUUGGGAUUCAAGGCAAUAUAGGAGGAAGUGGUGGAAUUGGUACGCUGGGAAGUGGUGGAAGAAUGGGGGUAGGGUUAGGAAGUGGUGGAAUUGGUACUGGUACUCUAGGAAGUGGUGGAAGACUGGGGGUAAGGUUAGGAAGUGGUGGAAUUGGUAAUCUGGGAAGUGGUGGAAUUGGGAAUCCAGGAAGUGGUGGAAGAAUGGGGGGAAGUGGUGGAAUUGGUGGAAUUGGUGGAAUUGGUGGAAUAGUUACUUGCUGAAGAUUUCGAGCUGCUAGGCUAACCUCCAUGCUUGAAAAACCCAACAAAAUGAAACAAGCUAAUAAAAUGAAAACGUUGGAACCUGCCAUUUUUUUUGGAGAGAUGAACUAAAGAUUGAAGAUUUGAGUUGAGGUUUGCAUUGAGGAAAGCAGGAUUGCUUUUCAGGUAUUUAUAGCCACAUUUGAAAGACUUAAUUAAUUAUUUGUUUGAGAUAUUAUUCCCCUACUUAGCAUACUACCUUUUCUCACCCAUCUGUCAUCACCAACAAAAAGAAGAAGAAGAUAAAUUAGACUCAUCCUUAAACUUAAAAAUAUUCUGAAUGAGUCGAUUUGUCUAAUGUUAGUUAAAAAUUAAAUGCUUUUAAAUUUUGUGUGAACUAUAUCUUUCUAUUUCCAUUUACCUAAUGCCAGUUAAAAAAUAAAUAUUUUUUUAUAUAAUGAGUGUAUAUUUGACUUACGUAUGUGGCGCUCUAUUAAAAAAAAAAUUAAAUUAGGUGGAUCAAAUUUAAAUAUUAGAUAACUAUACAUGUUGGUACUUAAACUUGGUAUUUAAGAUUUUUUGUUGUCCAAUUAAAGGUUGAAUUUAAAUUAGAUAGUUGAACUUGAUUUCUUAGUUCAAAUUCCAAGCUUAGAUACCAAAAUGUUUGGUAUAAUAUUAAAUUAAAAAAAUUCAAGAUGUAAAAUACUAAUUUAACAUUUAAACUAGUUGCCCCAUACAGCUACAAUGGUAAUGAUAGAAGAAAAGUAAUUGAAUGGGAUUAGGAGAUGAAGAUCCUAGUAAAGCCACCUCUAGAGGUAUGAGAGUUGCGACCACUCUAUAAUUGAAUGCUACAAAAAUGGUUAUAUCUAGGAAUCUUUCGCCAUUAGCUAAUAAUGGAAAUAGCUAUGUAUCACUUAAAAAACAACAAUUCAUAUUUUCUUGAAAUAUAUUCAAAAAAUUGAAAAAUAUAAAAAAUAUCAUUUUUCUAAAAAUCCAAAAAUUUUAUGUGAAUAUCAACAAAUUCAGAAACUAAAAGAUAUGGAAAGCUUUAAAGUUUUUCCAAAAAGAUAGAAAUUUGCAGAAAAUUAGGUAUUUAAGAUUCCAAUAUUUUUAUUUCCCUUCUUUCCUGAUUGGAGAAAAUAUGAAUUAGGUGACGCCAUCGUUAACAAUUGGGGCAAGGUAAGACACGGUUGGAAACUUCAAGUAGGUGUAAUUUUGGGGAAAUAUUACAUUGUUUAAUAAUGAAUAUUGACAUGAUUUACCCUGAGUUAAAUCAAUUAUAUUUUACUUAUAUUUUCUAUACAAAUUUUAUACAAGCCUAAAUUAAUCAUAUUCAAUCAUAUCAAUCUCAAUAUUUUGAAUAAGAUAAUAAUAUUUUCUUAAAACUAUAACUAUAUAAAGUAUUGUAAAAAUAAUUAUUCAAUUAUACAGCUAUUUUAUUUGUAUAAUUAUAAUUAACAUAACCUUCUCCAUCAUAUAAUUAAAAUUUGUUCAACUUAUAAUUACAACAACUUUCCGUGAAGAAAAGAGAGAGACACAAAUACAAACUAAUGAGAUUAAAUAAAUCUCAAAUAUAAAAUAUUCUUCAAUAAACAUCAUUAAUCAAUCUCAAAAGAAACAAGAAAAGAAAUUCAUAAAUUAAACAAUAAGAAUAUAAUAUAACAAUCCAUUAUUUAAUAAAUUCAAAAAAAAAAAUCACAUUUAUAUUUUAAAUUUUAUUGGUCUAAUUUUAGAUAGGUUUAUAAACUUCAAAUGAUUUAAAAUAUUAGUGUCACGCCCCUAAAUAUAGGAAGGUUCAUUGAAAUGAAUAAAUAAGAAAUGUGUUGACACCAUUUUUUUGAUGAAAACGGGGUUGACUUGGAUUUUGAAAAUGAAAAUUAAAAUGACAGUCGCCACCAAUCCUUUUUGAUAAGGUGUGAUCGGAUCACCUUGAAAAGUGGUUGUUUUUAAUAAACGAUUUAAUUUUAUUAAAACAACGAGUUUGGUCCACGAAAUUCAGAAAAAUGGGUUCGGGAGUCGGUUACGUACGAGGAAGGAUUAGCGCCCUCGUGACGCCCAAAAAUUGGUACCUAGUUGAUUAGUUAAUGUCUUAAUGUCAAAAAUUGUAAACUUUGAAGAAUUUUAAAAAUACGAUCCUUAAUUUUUUUAAAAAGAAAACUUAUAUAAAUCAAGUUACUCGUUAAGACCCUCCCAUUUCAGAAAGAGAAAACGUCACGCCCAAUGCGUUAGGGCACGAUAUUUUACCUCUUCAGAAAUGAGCUUGUCUAAAAACUUACACAAUAAAAUUUUAAAGGGCAUUCAAUUGUUUAAGUCAUGUGAAAAAUUGCAACCCAAUACAUUAGGGCACAAUUUCUCAAAAUAUUAAACAUUGAAUAUUGCAUUUAUUUUGAAAAAUCCUCAUAUCCAAUGCGUUACGGCACAACGUACUGAAUUCUCGAUAAUGAGCUAUUUAUUUAUGUUUUUGUUUUAAAGAGCACCCUCGAUUAUUUAGAUCCAACGAAGAAAAUUGGAACCAAUACGUUAGGGUUCAAUUCUCUCGAAGAUCCCAAAUACCGAGUAUUACUUUUAUUUUGAAAUUUUCCGUUUUUGAUAAAUCCGAGUAAAAAUGGAUGCAAAAUAAUGAUAAUGAUGAUAAUGUAAGUAAAAUAACACGAGCAAAACAAAAUAUAAAUAAAUAAUAAGACUAAUAUAAAUACAAUCGUGCAGGCGCAAUAACAAAUAAGAAACAGAUAAAAACUAAAGCAAGAAAAAUAAUAAUAACAUACAUGUAAAUAAAUAACUGAACAAAAUUAACAAAAUUAAAAAAAAUAUAAAAGAUAUAUUUAUACAUAUAUAUGUAUAAAAUUAUGAAAAUAUUAAAAACAUAUGCAUGUACACAUUUUUGAAGCUAUUAUACAUGAAAAUAUAUGUAAGUAUAUAUGCACAUACAUGAAUACGUAUAGAACCAUCAUCAAAUAUAUAAAAGUAUAUAUAUAUAUAUGUAGGUAUAUAUGAAUCACAAAAUUUAAAGAAUAAUAUAUAUAAGAUAUAUAUUUUGGAAGUAUAAAGAAUAUGUAAGAAUUUAUAUAUACAUACAUUUAUAUAUGAAAAUGAAAUAUAUAGAUAUGUAUGUGGGUAUGUAUAAAUAUUAUAAAAUAUAAAAACAUAUAUGUGUACGCAUAUAUAUAAAAAUAUACAUAUGUAUAUAUACAUAUAUAUUAUGAAAAUAAAGCUAAAAAAAAACUAGUUAGUGUAUUAACAUAAUUGUAACGACUAAAUAAAGGAAAAUAAUAAUAAUAAUAAUAAUAAUAAUAAUAAUAACAUUAAAAUAAUUAACUAAAUAAUAAAAAUUGCUAAAAAAAGAUUAAAUCGAAAUAAAAACGAAAAUACUGGGCAAAUUCGAAAUAAAAAAAACGAAAAGGAUUAAAUUGCUACACGCAUCGAAAGAGGGAGACCAAAACGAUAAAUAAACCAAAGCCCCAAAACGCAGCGCUGCAACGGACUAAAAUGAAACAAAAGGAAAACUAUGUGGCUAAAUUAAAAUAAAAGAAAAUAAUGAAAAAGGGCCAAAUUGCAACUCGUUGCAAAGUCGGAGUGACUACGCGCGCAAAUAUCCCCUUUUAAGAAAACACGCGGAUCCUCCCCCAGGGUCGGGUCACCGAGCGGGUCAGGGCCAAAAUGGCGUCGUUUUGGCACCUGACCCUAAUGACAAAACGGCGCCAUUUCGUUUAGGGUAUUUAAACCUAAUUUUUCCCAAAAAACCUAAUUUCAGCCACCAUUUAAAAAAAAUAAAAAACUUUCUUUUUCUUUCAAAAAUCUGACUUUUGGGGUAAAAUUUUUUACUUUCUCUUGAUAUUUUGCGCGAAUAUGAAUUGUUUUUUUUUAAAAAAAUAUGUAUAAAAAUAAAAAUGAACGGGUAUAAAAAAGAAAAGAGAUGCGAAACUAAAAUCACAUUGGAGUGAAUCUGUUUGUUUUUUUUAAAUCUGUUUUUGUAUUAUUUAAAAGUGUUCUUACAAAAAAUCUAAAAAGGAACCCCCUAAAUUACAGAAAAAUUUGGCUUUUAUAGCCGAUUCUCCCCCCUCAUUCUUUGCUCUGUUGCUUUUCUAUUGCUUGCAGGGACUUGACGCGGUGCAUGUGGGGUGUCGGUGGCAAGUGGGGUGAUGGAACAUCCGACGGUGGCCGUGGCUGCUGGUGAUGCGACUGGUGUGCGGCGGCCAAGAGCUAGGGUUUCAGAAAAGCUGAAACCCUAGUUUGACUGUUGGGGUUGGGAUUUUGGGCCAAUUGGGUUAUUGGGCCUCGAGUUUGGGUUUGUAAUUGGGUUAAUUUAUUUUUUUUGGGUUUUAUGUUUGGGUUUAUUGAAUAUUGGGCUGAGGGUUAGUGGGUUAGGCCUAGGUGGGUUGGUUUGGGUUUUGGGCCCCGGGCUAAAAUUGGGCUUGUACAAAAUGAAUUAGGUUUAAUGGCUAAGUGUUAAAGAAUUCACCUUAGAGACUUAAGUUCGAGUUCCCUUCCUUCCUUUUUAUUUUUGGUAACUUGGUUUUAGGGUAAAGUCACACUCAAAAUAUAUACGACUAGGAAUUAAGAAUAAAUAAGAAAUGGGCAAUAGGUCCAAUGGUUAAGUGUUAAUCCCCUAUCUUAGAGAUCUUAGGUGUAAGUUUCCUUUUUCCCCUCCCAUUUUUCUUUUGGAUUUCGACAAUAAGGGGAAAUUUGCUGUGCCACCCCUAGGGUUUUCAAACCCGAGCUAUUUAAUCAUUCUUUUCCCAUUUGGAUUAGUUUUGCUUCUUUUCAAAUUCUUGUAAAAUUUCUACUCAUAUUAUAUUUCUCUUAUAUUUAUUUUCUUUUCCUUUCUUUUCAUUGUAACACCCUAAACUCGGUCGAAUAGGUUCGACCUAAAUUUGGAGAGCUACAUUAGCCACCGAAGUGACUUUCCAUUAACUCCCAAUCUAACCUCUAACACACCACUUACUUGCAACGUAUAUUAUGAUAAGUUAUAUCAUAACAAGGGUAUAAUAUAAUACAUAUAAUGUAAAUCAUGCAAGCUUAAAACCAAUGUAACACCCCAAACCCGGCUGAGUAGGUUCGACCCAAAUUUGGCGAGUUACAUUAGCCACCGAAGUGACUCUCCAUCAAUUCCCAACCUAACCUCCAACACACCACUUACUUGCAAUGUAUGUUAUGAUAAGUUAUAGCAUAACAGUGAAAUAAUAUCACAUAUAGAAUGUAAAUCAUGCAACCUUAUCAAACAAAAUGAGGGAACGGUUCGCAUGUUAAUUACUACGUAAGGCUACGUAGUAAGGUUAUCGCACCUAAGGGUUCACAAGCAUAUAGGGGGUCACAAACAAACAAAGGUCGCAGAAAAUAACACUUCGCAAAAAAAAUUGGCUCGCGUAUGAUGUUAAUACAUAUUUUGGAAAAAUUGAAAGAAUGCGACAUGGUACUCAUGCUAGGAGAAUUAAAGAAACAUCAAAGUAUAUUCAUGCAGAGAAGAAAUUAGUAAUAAAGGUUUAACUUCAUGGUUCGCAAAAUAUUAAAAGAAUAAACUUAAACUUUAGGGAAAUCGUUUCAUUAACAGAAUCAUAUAAUGAUAAAUCUAAACCUAUAUAAAUAAAACCCCAUCACCUAUUUCCCUAGGUUCGCAUUAUUUGUUCAGAGAUAGCCUCGCUAUUGCCAUUGGCGACUUACUUACCUGCAAAGUAAGAGAAGAGUGGGUGAGUUCAUUGCGAACUCGGUGAAUAAUCCGGAAUCAUCAACGUAUGAUUAAAAUACAGAGUUUAAAAUAGAAAGAAGACUUAGUAUGAAAAACUAUUGUAUCGCGUGUUGGGUUCGCAGUGAAUGCUAGGUUCGCAGUGAAUGUGCGAGACCCAGUUUAUAGAACCUGCUUGUCAUAAAAUCAUAUAAGUUUGAAAAUAGUUUUGCAUGUACUUACUGAAAAUCAUACUUAAAAACUUAGCUUGUUCUUGUUUGAAAAUGGAUCUUUUAUAGAAUGAAACAUGCUCACAUACUUAUCUUAUCGGAAUGGCUGAGGAAUAUAAAAUAUGUUCUUGCACUUUUCUUAACUUACUUAUAUUAUCUUGUCUUAUUUUGUUGGAUAUGUGGAUCUCUUUAUAACGCCUCAGAAUGACUCAAAGAGUCCUUAAGAUGUCCCAUAAGUGUAACAUAAGCUAAACACUCUCUUGUACACCAACAUGUCCUAUUGAAUGGAGCAUAGCUUGGCGUUCCCUUAUCUCUCCACAUGUCCCAAAGCCUCAAUGCCCAAAUCACAAAACUUAUUGGUGAGUACUCACAAUCCUUUGGUAUACAAAUAUAUCCAAUAUAUAAGCUCACAAAGGCACUCGUAUAGAAACUUAGCACAUAGAGCUAGAAAAAACAUAGCUUAUAGAACUGUAUUUUUAAAACAUGCUUUAAAACAUAGGCUUGCAUAGGAGCAUGCGUAACACAUAUCUUUAAAACAUAGCUUAAAACAUAUCUUGAAAACAAAUUAUCAGAACUUUUAAAAACAUAGUUUUAUAGGAAAAAAAACUUACUCUUGGAACUUAGUUUUUAAAAAAAAAAGAUUCUUAGAAAACAUAACAGUUCACACACAAGUUACGAAACCUGAGCAUUCAUACUAAAAAACAUGAUAGUUACCACACUUAUGGCAAUUCUUAACCACUCAUCGAUAAAACUGAAAAUUUAAAUGAGUUUUGCCUUGCCUUUAUCCUUGCUGUAGAUAGUCUGGUUGGUUCGUAACAUGCAUAAACACACAAAUUACUUCAAUAGACAAAACUUACGAACUUCACACAUGCAAGCGAACCUAGCUUUCUGGACAAUAAACCCUAAUAGGAAAAAUGCUUACCUUGGUUGCUACGAAUUUGGUUCAGAACAAAGACUUGACAACAAAAUAACGAUGAAAGAAUUUUUCCUAGAAUAAGGAUUGUAUUUAUAGGCACUAAGUAUCUUAGUGACCUUAGGAUACCCUAUUUGACUUAGGAACCCUCUACGGUUUAAAAGAAGGUUACGUGCACGAAAAGUAUCCUAGAUACACAAUAUAUUUAUUUCCUAAGUUUAGUCUAACUUGACUUUUGAUUGGCGAACCCCUAGUUUGUAACUCAAUUGUUGAACCCCAGCUCACUAAACAGAUUGGAGAACACAACUUUCAAUGAAUCUAGCGAACCUCUUACCACAUCAUUUGGCGUGCAGCAGUUUGCUAGAACACUGGCAAACUCCUUACUGGUAUCCCCUUUGGUGAACCCUAGUUUGCUGAAACACUAGUGAACCCUCACUUGUAAGGUCAAAACUUCUAGAUCAGGUUUCAGGAUGUUACAAACACCAUAUUUUUAUCAUAAUUGUUGUUGAUUAUUUUUCUUUCCUGAAUCAAAUCAUCUUUCAUUAAAUUAUUUUUCUAUUAGUUUUGUAAUUGUCGUCAAUAGCACCUCUAUAUUUGCCAAGAAACAAACCGAAUUUAGGUGAAUCAGACCGAAAUAAAGUGUGAAGAACAUCAACCGGAACUGUGGUGAAAGGUGUGUGUCUUUUCCAAGUGAAUCAGUGGUGAUCUGUGUACGAUUAAGGCCACAUGGGCUAUGCGUGUGGUCCACCAACUACCACACAACCAUGUGCACUUGUAGAUUUUAGGGACUUCAUGAACCAUACGGCCUCAGCCAGUUACACGAUCGUGUCUUUCCUGCAAGGUUUAUCAUUUUCCACAUGGAAUCAUGCUGUUACAUGACCGUCUAACCCUUACACAGGGUCUUACCCUUCUCACAUGGCCUGGCCAUACAGCCGUGUGACCCUGUUUUACAGUUUUGACCAAAAAUUUAUCAUAUGUUCAAUUUAGUCCUCGUUUAUCCCUUGAAUUAUUUUAGAGUUUUCAUUCACUCAAUUAAGUCCUUGAUAUUGUGUUUAUUCUAGAAUCUGUGAUUUAAUGACUAAAUUCCUAUUUUUAUAUUGUAUGAGAUGUGAAUAUUACAUGCCUACUGUCAUUGUAAUACUGAUAAACUAUUAAUGAUAAUAUUGUUACCACCCUAUUGAGUACAUGUUAAGCAUGUCUACUGCUAAUGUUGAACUGAAUACAUGAUAAGCAUGUCUAUUAUUAUUAUUUUUUGUAUUGUUCUAUUACAAAGCAUGCCAUAUUGCAUUGCAUGGGGUGGGACGAUAUGUAUGGAGAAAGGGUGACAGUUUAAUAAUCUGCAACCCAGUGGUGGCUCGUCCACAAACCCAAUGGCAGUUUAUCUGCAAAUGUUUUAACUAAAAAUACUGGUUGUUUAUCCGCAAUUUUUACAACGAAGUGGUAGUUUAUAUACAAAUCAGUGGUGAUUUAUCCACAACUCGGUGUGUAUGGAUGGAUGAGUUCUGGGGAACUCAUAGUGUGGUGUGUAGUGAAGUUGGGUAGGACCUUUUCUGAUAAACUGAAAUUGCAUUGCCAUUCAUAAACAUGUGCAUACAAACCAUGAAUUCUAAAUAUUAUAGUGAAGUGUUGAAUUGGAAAACCGAUAUUGUGAAUUGCUAUACGAUUGUGGUUAUUCUAAGAAUUGUUAUUUCGUAUGCUUUGACCACUAUGUUACACCGAUUUUCUUGUGAUAUGACUCACAUUGAGCUUAAGUUCACCCCCUUUUAAUUUCCAUCUUUAUAGAUAACCCACCAGGUUAGGACAUAGACACAACAUCUGGAAGGUCUUGGCUCAGAUAAAUUUUUUUAUUAAAAGUAUUUUAGACUUAUUAUUAUUUCUAUUAUUUGGAAUUGUAUUGUUUUAUUCAAACUUUGGCACGAGACUUAAGUUUUGAGUUUAUUUGACAUGCAUGAAAUUUAAUUUGAAUAUUAGGAUAUUGAAACAUGGAUUUUAAACUAAUUAUGCAUGAAAUUUUGGUUUCGCCAUCAUUAAAAAUAUUUUGAAUAUCAUUUUUCCGCUACGAUAUUAUGAAAAUAAGAAUUUGAAAAAAGUAAAUGAAUUGGAAAUCAACUUUUACUAAGUAAACUUUAAAAUCCAUUGUUUUUUGGAAACUUUUAUUUUUUAGUGAAAACAUGAUUACACGCAAAGUUUUUCUUCAAUAAUAAGCAAAUGUUUUAAACAACUGUUUUAUAAAAACUCCGAUAGUUGUAGUAGGCCAUUUCGGUAGCCAAUGCAAUCUUUUGAAUUCAGUCUUAACGUUUAGGCCGAGUUGAGGAAGUUACUAUUAGCAACUUAACAUUAAUUUGAACAUUAAAUGUUGGUCCAAACUUGACACGAAAUAUAUUUAGAAUACAUAAAUCAAAAAAUUAGUAAGUUGGCUACUUGGGUUAAUUUAUUGGUUUGACACAACAUAUCCUAUAGUAAUUCAAUGGGAUUAGAACAUCCCAACUCCUAGUUGAUUUAAUUGCUAGGUUAUCUAAGUCCACGCUUGCAAUUAUUGCUUAAAGCAUUUGUUUAAUAAAAUCUUAAAUUCCAAUGGAGGUGCUUUUUCAUAAUAUGAGGUAACCUAAGAAAAAGGAAAAAGUUGAACAUAUUGUUAAGUUAAAAUUGAACAAAUUAAGGCAAAGUGUACAAAUGGAGUGUCAUCAUUCAAAUCGGUCCUUCUCUUAAUUGUCAUAAGCCAAUUAGGUAAGCCAGAUUCUUUUAAUAAAAAGUAAAGAUUUCAUGGCAUCCCUAAAGCAUUGCAAAUUUUUUGUAAGCAUUAAAAUGGCAUUAGUUGGUACAAUACUGGUAUUGAUCUGUAUAUAUUGCUUCGGUUUUGAUCAGUACCAAAUAGUUUAUAUUUCGUUCAAUCAAAAUUUUGUUAUGUUUGAUUAUUUCGGUGUGUUUCGACCUAUUUUGGUCAAUAUCGGCUUGUACUAGCUAGUAUAAAAUUUGAUAUUUUAAACUAAAUUUUAAAAUUUUUUAAUCUUAAUUAUUUUAAUUUUGGCUAAAGGGUCUUCAAAGCCCUUGAACAUUAAAAUUUCAAUCAAUUAAGCCCAUCACACAUUAAAGUUAACGAUCAACCAUGAAAGAGCAACAAUAGCCAUUAUGAGCAAUUGUUUUCACCACGUGGCAUGUUAGACUGUACCACGUGACGAAAUAUGGUGUUUUAAAUUUAAAACCAUUAAAACUAUAGAAAAUCAUAAAAUAUUAAAAAAUUACAAAAGUUAUAAAAUUAUAUAAAAAUGAACAAAAUUAUAAAAAGUAGUAUAAAUGAUACAAAAAUUAUAUAAAUUAUUAAAAAAUUGCAAAAAGAAAACAUUAAAAAUAAGCUUAAAAUAAGAAUAUAUAAAAAAAUGUAAAAAAAAAAAAUUAGAAACUAAGUUUCGGAUACACAGCUCUGGCUGUAUUUUUCAUAAAUAAAAGCUUGGUUGAGAUUUUAGAUUUGGUAUAAAUACAAUAAAUAUAAUAUUUAUAGUAGUAAACAAGUGAAUGAAAUUAAGUAAUUGUGAUUGAGAUUCACCAUGAUUAUAUUUAUAGGAAUAAAAUAUUCCUAUAUAUAAUGAAAGUGUAAUUGAAUAAUAAAAUUCAUAUUAAUACAAGUUGCUUUAAAACAAAAGUAAAUAAUUUGAUAUUGAUCUUGUGAAACAAUUGAAUUUUGGUUUUGUUAUGGGAUUAAAUUAGCAAUUAAUCCUUUUUAAGAAUUUAGAGAACGAAUUAGAUAAGUUAGACAUAAAAGUAGAAGAGUAAAAAGAAAGGAAGUAGUGGGUAGAUUAACAUAAUUAGGAGUUUAAAUGAUAUGAUAAUAAUUAAAGCUUUAAUUUAGUUAAGGUAAUUAGAAAUGUUUGAUCAUAUUUUAGAUGUUAAUUGAAAUUAAACGAGUUAAUAGGUCGAAUACAAGUUUAUAUUUUAGUUAAGAUAAUUAAGAGUUUAACUAGAAUUAAAAAAAAAUAAGAAGCACAUUGAAUCGUCGAUGAAUUGAUUUGAUUCUAAAUCCAAACUCAAGAGAGUAGGAACAUAAUCCAUUGGAAACAACACUUUUAAGUUGUUUAAAUUUUUGAGAAAGAAAAACACUUUCAACCUUUUUUUUAAUCCCCACUCUAUCCACCAACCUACUCGUUGCUUUAUAAGUCAAAAUCGGGAAAUUAAAUAUUACACUAUUACUAAUUCGGUUAAAUUGGUUAAUUCGGUCAAAUGAAUAUUAUCGAUUUUUUGAUAUGUUUUUUUACUUGUUUUAACCAAAAAAAUAAAACAUAUAAAUUUCGGUUAAUUUGAUUAACCGGCCGAAUUAAUCGAAAUAUUUCGAUUUGGUUAAUGGUUAAAGAUACUAAUUCGAUUCGGUUAACUGAUCGGUUAAUUGUUUGAGCACCCCUAAAAAUAAGUCAUGGGACCAACAUACUGACUUCCAUACAAUUGUUAGGUAUAUAUAGCAACUCAUAAGUAUGAGUAGAAUUAGUACGCAGUACCUUAGAUUCAUUGAGCCACAUUUCAAAGUUUCCCAUGAUCUCUUUUGCUGUCAAUGAUAUAAUAAACUUUUUGUAUUCACAAUUAUGUUCACAAUAUAAAACAUAAUUGGUCGACUUGAAUACAAUUAAAUGAGACACUCUAAUGUUCUUUCCUUUUCCUCAAAUCUCUCUAUUUCAAUUCAACUACUCUCUAGAUAUGUCCCGUUAGAUUGAAUCAUACAUGAUCAUCGAUAGCCUACUAAAAUAGCUAAUAUUGAUGUAAAACUUCAAGAAACAGUUAAAGGUCAUGAGGGUACUUAGUAUAGAUCUUCAGUUGAUCUCAUGGGUUUCACACAACAUAGAAGCAGAGAUCAAAUCUUCUAUUACCCAUUUUGUUCGUAUAAUACACAUGUAGUAUGAAACACAUGCUAUGGUAUUACUCUCACUUUCCUUGAAGUGUAUGUCUUUAUCAAAAAAUCAAUACCACAUAGGUGAUAAUUCAAAUACACUUAGUAUCUAACUCGAGUCCACAACUUUAUUUUCUUAAUAGAUUCAACAACAAGACUUUCACCUGGAAUAAAAGACAUAUAAAGUGAAAAAUUCAUAUUUAAAUUAUCAAACAUAAAUCAAAUUGAUUAUAAUUAUAUCAUUUUGCAUAUAGCUCAUGUCGUGCAAGUGCACACUUUAGCCCCAACAAGUUUGGACCUAUGCCCUUCAUGCAUGCAAGGCAAGAUUCCAAACAUAAUCAUUCAAUCAUCAUUUAUGUGGGUUCUCAUAUAUAUACACAUCUCACACUUGGUAUUUAACCAAUGUGGGAUCUAAGCUUUUCUUUUCCUCAACAAAUAUUCACAAGUAGCUUACUUUGAGCACCAAUUUCUCAUUCAUCACUCAACCAUUUUGAGCAUAUGAUAUACUGUUGUAAAGGUCUCAUGGAGUAGAAUAUAAAAUCAUAAUUUUAUGAUUCAACUCUCAACAUUUACCAAUUAAAAAUAUGCCUCAAAGUUCCCAUAAAUUACAAAUUUUCCAACAACUUUUGAAUGCAUUAAUCAUUAUCAACAUUAACUCAAGUGAGGACAAGAAUAUAUUAUUCAACUUGCAAUCCUAGAGUUUUGACAUUCCUUUAAAAAAUCUCUAGGAAUCGGUUUUGUAAACUGAUUUGCAAUCCUCUUAUGCAUAGACUUUCUCUCUUGUUGUGAGAUUUACCUUCACACUUAUUUUUUCCAAUAUACUAACUUUAGAUAUUUGGAGUUUGGAGUUGGUCAAACAGAUGUAAAAGCUACCUUUUCCAAAUGAAAAUCUGGAAUUUACACAGACAAAGUAGAUUUCAUUGACAAAGGUGAAAUGCAUAGUCUGGGCAAGUUAUGAAGAUCAAUUUUAUGAUCUUAAGCGAUUUUCCAGAUAGUGAUAUGCUAUUUUUUUUAAUUAAGAAACUGUUUAGUUUGAUUUAAUCAUAAUUGAUAAAGACCACUUUACUCAUGUUAAAAGAAGGAAAGAAAAUUUUGUAACUAUGUCAUUUUAUGUGGGUGACAUGUUGUUGGCCGCAAAUGAAUUAGUGCUUAUCAUUAUGGGUUAUGCAAGACUACAUGUCAAUUCAUACGAAUGUGUCCUUUUUUCAAUGUUGUGAGUAGCAUCAUAUAUGUUAUGAUGUACAUAAAGCAAAGUAUCUCUUGUAUAGUUGGAUUCAAGACACUCCAAUCCAAACUCAUUGCAAAACAAUGAAAAUGAUAUUGAGGUAUUGAAAAGACACUAUGGAUUUUCACCAUGCUAUCUAAUUGUGAAUACAAAUACCUAUUAAUUAAAAGGAGAUUUAGAUGAAAUAUUGAAAUCUAUCUCCACACAUGUGUUCGUAUUUGAUAAUGGAGUGAACUCUUAAAGUAGUAAGAAAUAAACUUGUAUAGCAUGGUCUAUUAUUGAUGCUGAAAUUGGCAUUUUUAGCGAUGGUUCAAGAGAGUGUUUGGGUUAAAAUAAUCACGAUUAAUAUAGUUACGUUAAAGCAAAAUAUCUUCUAUAGUUGGAUUCAACAUAGUCCAAUCCAAACUUAUUGCAAAACAAUGAAAAUGAUUUUGAGGUCUUUUAUUGUUCUCUCUUGUAUAGUUUGCAUCUCAAGGCACUUUCUUGUUGAUUACGAUGAACAAAAAACGGUUGCAAGCUCUGGGACGAGCAAGAUCAAUAUCUUUAGAGAUCAAAUGAUGGUUAGUAUACAAAUUUAAAAACUAGUUUUUAUAAUUUCAUUUUCAUAUAGUUUUUAUUUAUUUUUUAUUAUAAAUUUUAUGCUUUUUAUAAUAUUUUAUAUGUUUUAGUAUUUUUACAAUAUUUUAAUAACUUUCUAUCUUUUUAAAUAUUUAUUACCAUUUUUAUUUUUAAUUCAAAUAAUUUAUUUUUUUCCAAUUUUCUAUAUUUUAUAAUAUUUUUAAUAAUAUUUUAUAUAUUUAAAUAUUUUUUCAUAAUUUUAAUUUUUUUAAAUUUUUCAUAAUUUAUAUGUUUUUUUAAUUUUUAUUUUAGUACUUUUUAAUGCUUUUCACAAUUUUUAAUAAUUUUUAUAAUUUAUAUUUUUUUUUCGUUUAUAAUCAUUUUUAUAAUUUAUAUAUAUAUCUGCAAUUUUAUAUAUUUUAUAAUUUUUGCAAUUUUUAUAUUUUAUAAAAUAAUUUUGUAAUACUCCAAACUCGGCCUUAACGUUAUGACCAAAUCUAGAGAUGCUAUGAAGAUACAUUAAAAAAAAUCUAGAAUCUGUUGAUUUUAUAAAAUGAUACUUGCCCUUAUUUAGUAAAAUCUGAGUUUAUUUGAGAAAUUUAUCGUUUUGAUGGGUUUGUCAAUUAUUUACUCAUAAAACUAGUCGAAUCCAAUUUGAAAACACGAUUUUUUUUGUUGUUGUAAAAUCCAUUAUUCAACAAUUCAAUUUUCAACCCACCAACGAGGAAAUCACACAGGACUUCCUGCUAACCUACCAUCUUUUUUCAAGAGUUCAAACCCAAUCCAACACCACCAACUCGACAGCACAUUAAGGGCUAACAAAAAUAAAUUAGAGACUCAAACGAUAAAUUAACAUCUUAUCGUUGAACUAGUAAACUCAUUCUAUCACAAAUUGAUCAAAAAUAGUAUUUAAGUGGUAAGGAACAAGAUAAGGAUAAAAGACAAAAAUAAUAAAAUUUCUUAAAAAUGAGAUUUGAACCCUAAUCAGUAAAACAAAUACUUAUUCAUGACAUAAAUUAACAAAUUAAAAAUUCAUAUUUUUGGGUCUUAAAAGUUUUUAAUAAAUUAUAAUUACUUGAUUCCAGUUUCUUUAUUAUGCCCAAAUUUAAGAUUAAGCCCUAUAUUUUAAUUUUGACAUAAUUUGAUUUAUUUAUUUUUAUAAUGUCAUUAGUUAUCUUAAAUCGCUAACAUUAUUAGCUAUGCCAAGUAAAAUAACAUCGCGUAUUUUUUUUCUUAAAAUCAUCACUUCUAACUAAAUAAUGGCUUAAUCACUUUUUUAACUAAUUAUACUAACAUAGAUUUUUUUUAGUUGGAACGAGUAUGUUUAAGGAAAAAUCACCUCAACACUUUACUUGAAAUUAGUAAUCACAUUAAUUAUUUGGACUAACUAAAUCAUUACUGAAUCACCUUCUAACUAAUUAUAGUAAUGUAUAUAUUUAAGAAAAAGCUCACUUUAAUGUUUUAACUGAAAUUAUUAACCGUGUUAAUUACUUAAACUAACUAAUGAAAAAUAUUUCAAAUUAAUUUAUACUGAAUAACUCUCAAAUCCAAGUAUAAUAAAAUAAUAUGACUAACUCAAACUUGGCGUUGAAUUGAGUUUGGGAGUAAAAUAAUCACAUCACUCAUUGGCAAAGCAUGACUGUGAUUAUGAUAUGGUUUUUCGAAGUAUAACUAUGGUGGAGUUGAUAGCAUUGAUUAGAAUACCUUUAUAAAUGAAUAUAUAACAUUUAAUCAUGUAUAUAUUUUUAAUAAUUUAAUAACUUAAAAAAACACCACACUUUAUUAUAUAUGUAAAAUGUAAAUAGAAGCUACAUUCUUAUUUCAUGAAAUAACAUCAUAGAGAAUGUGAUGGCAGAGUUCAUUCUCAGUAAUAUAUGUGAUACUAAUUAGGAAUCAAACUGUCUUCAAUGGCUGGAUGGAGGUGGAGGUGGAGGUGGAGACAUGAAAGGAAUGGAAGGCAAGCUGCUACUGGGAAGUGGUGGAAGAACAGUGAUAGGCUUAGGCUAAGAUGGUGGGAUUGUUGGUAGCUUCGGGAUUCAAGGCAAUGGAGGUAUGCAGGGUUGAGCUGAGAAUGAUGGUAGAUCUAGGAUUGAAGGCAAUGGAAGUAUGUUGGGCAACUUACGAAGUGGUGGUAGUUCUAAGUUCUGGGAUUGAAGGAAAUGGUGGUGGUUCUGGGAUUAAAGGAAGUGGUGACAUCGGAGGUGGCAAUGGUACCGGUAAAUAUGCAGAUGGCAAUGGUACUGGUAAAAAUGGAGGUGGCAAUGGUAUUGGCGACAAUGGAGGUAGCAAUGGUACUGGUGACAAUGGUAUUGGCGACAAUGGAGGUGGCAAUGGUAUUGGUGGAAAUGGAGGUGGCACUUGCUGAAGAUUUCGGGUUGCUAGGCUAACCUCCAUGCUUGAAAAACCCAAGGAAAUGAAGCAGGCUAAUAAAAUGAAAACGUUGGAAGCUGCCAUUUUUUUUUGGAGAGAUGAACUAAAGAUUGAAGAUUUGAGUUGAGGAAAGCAGGAUUGGUUUCGGGUAUUUAUAGCCACAUUUGAAGGAGUUUUUUAAUUAUUUGUUUGAGAUAUUACUCCCCUACUUAGCUUACUACCUUC
Molecule: long non-coding RNA, 16538 nt
Filed under: Gossypium barbadense (sea-island cotton)
Lineage: Eukaryota; Viridiplantae; Streptophyta; Magnoliopsida; Malvales; Malvaceae
Description: long non-coding RNA (GBAR_LNC014561)
Source: RNAcentral